This 245-nucleotide unclassified non-coding RNA is filed under the name fungal sp. RNAcentral describes it as "partial internal transcribed spacer region". The stretch from base 1 to 46 matches the Rfam family "Eukaryotic small subunit ribosomal RNA", at positions 1786 to 1831 of the family's 1831-position model. The record is from RNAcentral. Lineage: Eukaryota; Fungi.
AAGUCGUAACAAGGUUUCCGUAGGUGAACCUGCGGAAGGAUCAUUAGCGAGAGCCUGCCACGGACGCAAGUCUGUGAGCAAGCGCGCCAUCCUUGUGUUGUGUGUGUUGCCUGUGCACCUGACAAUGUCUGACAGUGUCUGUGUGCACACGCGCAUUUUCACCCAUUAUUCCCAUUUAUCUAAUGCAACUGCUCAUACUGAGCACAAACAACCGAAAACUGCCAGCAAUGGAUCACUCGGUUCUC